UACGAAGGGGGCUAGCGUUGUUCGGAAUCACUGGGCAUAAAGGGCGCGUAGGCGGCUUUAUAAGUCGGGGGUGAAAGCCUGUGGCUCAACCACAGAAUUGCCUUCGAUACUGUAGAGCUUGAGACCGGAAGAGGUAAGUGGAACUGCGAGUGUAGAGGUGAAAUUCGUAGAUAUUCGCAAGAACACCAGUGGCGAAGGCGGCUUACUGGUCCGGUUCUGACGCUGAGGUGCGAAAGCGUGGGGAGCAAACAGG
This 253-nucleotide ribosomal RNA is filed under the name uncultured bacterium. Its description in RNAcentral is "partial 16S ribosomal RNA". It matches the Rfam family "Bacterial small subunit ribosomal RNA", at positions 524 to 776 of the family's 1533-position model. The record is from RNAcentral.